GGUAUGGGAUGAGCUUGCGUCCGACUAGCUAGUUGGCGGGGCAACGGCCCACCAAGGCGACGAUCGGUAGCCGGCCUGAGAGGGUGAUCGGCCACAUUGGGACUGAGAUACGGCCCAGACUCCUACGGGAGGCAGCAGUAGGGAAUAUUGCACAAUGGGGGGAACCCUGAUGCAGCAACGCCACGUGUGGGAAGAAGCAUUUCGGUGUGUAAACCACUGUCGUGAGGGAAUAAGGCCUGUUCUAGGACAGGAUUGAAUGUACCUCGAAAGGAAGCACCGGCAAACUUCGUGCCAGCAGCCGCGGUAAUACGAGGGGUGCAAGCGUUGUUCGGAAUCACUGGGCGUAAAGGGAGCGUAGGCGGAGAUUCAAGCGGAUUGUACAAUCCCGGGGCCCAACCCCGGACCUGCAGUCCGAACUGGAUCUCUUGGAUAGUUCAGGGGCAGGC
This 446-nucleotide ribosomal RNA is filed under the name uncultured bacterium. RNAcentral describes it as "bacterial SSU rRNA". It matches the Rfam family "Bacterial small subunit ribosomal RNA", at positions 217 to 662 of the family's 1533-position model. The record is from RNAcentral.